Molecule: ribosomal RNA, 305 nt
Filed under: uncultured bacterium
Lineage: Bacteria
Description: partial 16S ribosomal RNA
Rfam family: Bacterial small subunit ribosomal RNA
Source: RNAcentral
ACAGCAGUCGCCGCGGUAAUACGUAGGUGGCGAGCGUUGUCCGGAUUUAUUGGGCGUAAAGGGAGUGUAGGCGGUCUUUUAAGUCUGAUGUGAAAGCCCACGGCUCAACCGUGGAGGGUCAUUGGAAACUGGGAGACUUGAGUGCAGAAGAGGAGAGCGGAAUUCCAUGUGUAGCGGUGAAAUGCGUAGAUAUAUGGAGGAACACCAGUGGCGAAGGCGGCUCUCUGGUCUGUAACUGACGCUGAGGCUCGAAAGCGUGGGAGCAAACAGGAUUAGAUACCCCUGUAGUCCCUGUCUCUUAUACA